CCCAUUAAAAAAUAGCCCAAACAAAUAAAUUCAUCUGCAAAAUCUCAAACCACAGGGAUAAGGUCGUGUUUGGUUUUCUAGUAUUUUGUAUCCUCGUCCCCGUUUCUCUCCUUUUUUUUCUGCUUUGCCAAACACGCCUAAAGGAUUCUCCAUCUUUCUAGCAGUCUUUUCUCCUUGAUUAUGUACUUGCAUCAAUCAAAGUUUUCAUUUCACUUACCAUUGUAACAAGAAACCAUCAAGUGACGCUCCGAUCCGAAAGUCGCCGGAAAACACUGUAUCUUGGCUACCCAAAUCACUGUUUUCAGUUUAGACCCACAUGGAAAAAGAGCCUCUUCUCCCUUAUGUCAACCCCAGAUGGCCACCAUAAACAAUCUUACUCUGCCCUUUACCCGAAGACAAUGAAAUUACCAACCCAACAUUGCCCAUCACCCCAUCUGCAAAAGAAUUCAAAUAAAGGCUCAUAUUGUUGGAAUUUGAAAAGAUAACUAGUUGUAGUAAUUUACGUAAUAGUAAAAUGUAGAAAUAAAACUUAUCGACUAAUCGAGUCUCGUAUGAUGCCCUAAAGUCAACUGUUGCGACUUCUGUGAACACUCAAUACCAAAAUAUAACGAUCACAAAUCGC
Molecule: long non-coding RNA, 622 nt
Filed under: Olea europaea (common olive)
Lineage: Eukaryota; Viridiplantae; Streptophyta; Magnoliopsida; Lamiales; Oleaceae
Description: long non-coding RNA (OEUR_LNC008082)
Source: RNAcentral